This is a long non-coding RNA of Oncorhynchus nerka (sockeye salmon), 3548 nucleotides long. RefSeq lists it as uncharacterized. The transcript is spliced from 4 exons. Lineage: Eukaryota; Metazoa; Chordata; Actinopteri; Salmoniformes; Salmonidae. The record is from RefSeq and is a predicted model, not a curated record.
AAUGUAGAAAGUAGUAAAAGUAAAGAAUCAUUUUAUAGUGCUUAUAUUAAGUAAACCAGGCAGCACAAUUGUCUUUCUUUUUUAAAUUUACGGAUAGCCAGGGGCACACGACAACACUCAGACAUCAUUUACAAAUGAAGCAUUUGUGUUUAAUGAGUCCUUCAGAUCAGAGGCAGUAAAUGUGUGAAUUAGACAAUUUUCCUGUCCUGCUAAGCAUUCAAAAUGUAACGAGUACUUUUGGGUGUCAGGGAAAAUGUAUGGAGUACAAAUUGCAUUAUUAUCUUUAGGAAUGUAGUGAAGUAAAAGUUGUCAAAAAUAUAAAUAGUAAAGUAAAGUACAGAUACCCCAAAAAACAACUUAAGUAGAACUUUAAAGUAUUUUUACUUAAGUACUUUACACCACGGACAAGGAGGUAUAGAUCCUUUCACACACUGACAAACUAAUACAUAUGUAGAUGUGCAAGUAAAUUCAGCAAAAUAACAACUGUAGGCUGCUCACUUGUUCACACUGUUUAUUAAAACUCACUCAUGGACACAUGAGACAAAGGGUGUAUAGUCUAUCUACCGGUAAGCCAGUGGAGAGGGGCUGAGAGGAGCUGUGUCACUGUGUUAAUAACUACUUGGUCUGGGUGGCUGUGUUAAUAACUACUUGGCCAGGGAGGUUUCGGAGGAUGAGUAGCUAAUCCACCAAAGAAUAAUAAUAACGAUCCUCAAAUAGUACUUCCCGUACGGUGGCCAAGUCAGUCACAAGGAGUUGGAUCAUUGAUUAUGUUUUAUUUCAUUACACCUAGUCCUUUAUUGAUGGUAGCUCAUUGAAAAGUGUAAACCAUUGGAUUUUGUUGAGAAAGAUAAAAAAGCUCAUCAGGAACAGGGGUCUUUGAUUAGGAUGUCAGUUUGACAGUUUCUUCUAAAUAAUAUCCACAACAGUCUAUUUGAUUUUUUUGUUUCAAAAGUUUUGGGGAGGUUACCAUUACCACAAGCAUGAUGGGAGGAUAUUGAUGGGGUAGUGACCUAGGGCCUGAUUUAUAAAACAGACUUAGGGUCAAUUCUGAUCUUAAGUAUGACUUACGCAGAAAACCACAUAAGUAGUUAUUUAUAAAACCUUACUUUGACGUGGAAAUGAUCUUAUCUCUACGCAAAGUCCCGAUUUGAGUGAUCACUUACUCGCAAAGUCCCGACGUAAGUGAUUGUCCUGCUGGUUGUGUAGGGGUAUUGCAGUUUGGGACGCAUCUGAGUCCAAGCCUGUGGGGAGCUUUGCAUCAGCUUUACGAACAAUUUGUUAGGAAUGAUCAAUUAAAGGUGUGAGGAGUUAAUUGCUAGACGCAAAGUGUUUUGGAUUAAAAACAGGGUGAGAUGUUCUAUAAAUAGUGUGUGAAAUUAGAAAGAAGUAACCAUGGCUGUUCUUGUGUUAUUGGAAGACAUUGAAAACCGUGCUGAACAUGUAUACGUUAACAGGAAGAAUUUCCAUUCAUUGAAUGUUCAGAUCAUCUGCGGUGCCCGAAUGCAACUUUGCUCCAAGUGGCCAGGGUCUACGCAUGACUCAUUCAUUCUGCGCCACAGCAGAGUAGGCCUGCGUCUAGAAGCUGGUGACCGGGGCUAUCCACUGAAAACAUGGCUUCUCACUCCCUCUGCAGAACUCCGAACAACAGAGGAAAUGUGCUAAGAUUUGGCUCAUGGCAGAACAAGUUCGGUUGUGGAGCGCACCAUCGGACUGCUGAAGGAACCUGACGCAUCAGGUGGAAAACGCCUCUACAAGACAGAGAAGGUAACACACAUAAUACUGGCAUGCGGUGUGCUCCACAACAUAGCACUGAGGCUUGGUAUUGAAAUGGAUGCAGAGAUUAGACUGGACCCCCAAGAGCCUCCUAACCCACCACCAAAUGGAGCACCUGCCCCGGCUGAUGCAGUGAGGAGGAGGCGGCAGCUCAUGCAGAGAUUGGUGGACUGAGGCGGUCAACAUGUGGAUGCAGACGUGGAUGGACCCUCGAUACCUGUGGCCAAACCUUGCCCCUCACUCCUGGCACCUGCUGAUUUGGGAACCCUCCCUGGGUGGAGGGGGCACACUCACCCAGAGCACGGGAUGCAACAAAGCUUCCCUUGGUGGAGGAGGCACACUCACCCAGAGCACGGGCUGCAACAAAGCUUCCCUUGGUGGAGGGGGCACACUCACCCAGAGCAUGGGCUGCAACAAAGCUUCCCUUGGUGGAGGAGGCACACUCACCCAGAGCACGGGCUGCAACAAAGCUUCCCUUGGUGGAGGGGGCAUACCCACCCAGAGCACGGGCUGCAACAAAGCUUCCCUUGGUGGAGGGGGCACACUCACCCAGAGCACGGGCUGCAACUCAGCUUCCCUUGGUGGAGGGGGCAUACCCACCCAGAGCACGGGCUGCAACUCAGCUUUCCUCGUUUCUAUGUGGAUGAAGUACAUCAGUGCACGUCUUGUAUAUUAAGUUACUGACAACAAAGUUUCACAUUCUCUUAAUUACUUACCGUGAUCCGGUGAUGAAGUCCUGGGGGUUUCGCGCUGACUUCACCGUUUCCAAUGUUACUGCUAAACAAUGUAAAAGUUUGGAUUAAACCACAUGAAAAAUAUCGCAAAAUAGAAGAAACUCGCCUUUUUUAAACAUUCACUGUCGCCGUUGGAGCGUGUGCCAGUGUAUGUGCUUUUCCCAAUGAUUGCGCUUUCCCCAAUGAUUGCGCUGAUCAGAACUCCAUGAUCAGAAUACAAAAGCUGCAUGAACUGUCAAGUCUAGACAUGGCCUGUCUGUGUACUAAACAUGUGAGGAGCAAGGGGAUUUUCAGGUGAACAAAAGGAGUGAUCGUUGAUAAUAUCAAUGAAAAAUCUAUCCGGUUUAUUACAAGUUUCGAAAGAGAAACAUCUCCAGAACAAAAGCAGAGAGAAUGUCUAAUGGACCUCUGAAAAGGUCGUUCUAUAUUAAUCACACAGCACCGAAUGUUCUGUAAACACCAGCCUGAGAGGUUUGUAGGAAGUCACAACCUCCGCUGCUACAGAAUCAGUGUCACAGAUACAUUAAGGUCCUUCAACCAAUUUGGUGGCUUUUGAGAUGUGUAACUUUGAGUUUUGUUGUUGAUUUUACCUGCACUUGUACAACAACAACAAAAAGUUUCCCCAUUUUGAGGUGAAAAAAAAAUAUUAUAAAGUAACAGGGUUGACCUUAACAGGGUUGACCUUAACAGGGUUGACCGUAGAAGGGGUUGAGCGUAACAGGAUUGAUGAUUUAAUCUUAAAUCAGGAGCUUGUGGGCAACAGGGAUGGCAAUUGAAUGCAGGCGUAGUGUAUUUUGGCGUUUCUAGCCUGUCUAUGGAGUUUUCCUCCACGAAACACCAGAAAAGAGUAGAACCAGCCCGCCCACCUGCUUUCACACUACGAUUUCACUUUUAGAUUUUCAAUGUUUCUUAAAUGAGGGGCAUACAGAAUAUAAAUGAAUCACUAAUCACAUGAAAUAAAUAAUAAUGAGAUAUAAUUAGGACUUUACAAUGAUGGGGAACAUUUGGGGUUAAGUGGGUUGACUUCUUCCUAGAAGUCAG